RNAcentral lists this ribosomal RNA (463 nucleotides) under uncultured bacterium. RNAcentral describes it as "partial 16S ribosomal RNA". It matches the Rfam family "Bacterial small subunit ribosomal RNA", at positions 29 to 507 of the family's 1533-position model. The record is from RNAcentral.
AACGAACGCUGGCGGCAUGCUUAACACAUGCAAGUCGAACGGAAACGCCCUGUCUUUUUGGGGUGCUCGGCGGACGGACGGGUAAGUAACCCGUGAGUACCCUGUACUUGCCUGUAAGAUAACUUAAGGAAAGUGAGUAUCAUACGGGAUAGGAGCUCCUGCUGCUUGGUGGGGGCUGGAAAGUUUCGCCGGUUGGGGGUGGACCGGCGUGGGAUCAGCUCGAUGGUUGGGUGGUGGCCUACCAAGGCGUGGAACGGUAGCCGGCCAGAGAGGGUGAGCGGACACACUGGGACUGAGAAACGGCCCAGACUCCUACGGGAGGGAGGAGGGGGGAAUAUUGGAAUAUGGGCGGAAGGCUGAACCAGCAAGGCCGGGUGAGUGAUGAAGGCCUUAGGGUUGUAAAGCUCGUUUACCCGGGAUGAUAAUGACGGUACCGGAAGAAUAAGCACCGGCUAACUACGUG